AGCAGCCGCGGUAAUUCCAGCUCCAAUAGCGUAUAUUAAAGUUGUUGCAGUUAAAAAGCUCGUAGUUGAAUUUCGGGAUCAAUUAAUUGGUCGUGCCUCUGGUACGUACUGAUUUUAUUGGUUUCUCCCUUCUGACGAACCAUGAUGUCAUUAAUUUGGUGUCGUGGAGAAUCAGGACUGUUACUUUGAAAAAUUAGAGUGUUUAAAGCAAGCUAACGCUUGAAUACAUUAGCAUGGAAUAAUGAAAUAGGACGUUUGAUCCUAUUUUGUUGGUUUCUAGGAUCGACGUAAUGAUUAAUAGGGAUAGUUGGGGGCAUUAGUAUUCAAUUGUCAGAGGUGAAAUUCUUGGAUUUAUUGAAGACUAACUACUGCGAAAGCAUUUGCCAAGGAUGUUUUCAUUAAUCAAGAACGAAAGUUAGGGGAUCGAAGACGAUCAGAUACCGUCGUAGUCUUAACCAUAAACUAUGCCGACUAGGGAUCGGAUGAUGUUAAUUUUUAAUGACUCA
Molecule: ribosomal RNA, 506 nt
Filed under: uncultured Glomeraceae
Lineage: Eukaryota; Fungi; Glomeromycota; Glomeromycetes; Glomerales; Glomeraceae
Description: SSU rRNA
Rfam family: Eukaryotic small subunit ribosomal RNA
Source: RNAcentral